Long non-coding RNA from Pipra filicauda (Wire-tailed manakin), 1462 nucleotides. RefSeq lists it as uncharacterized. NCBI's taxonomy places the organism in Eukaryota, Metazoa, Chordata, Aves, Passeriformes, Pipridae. The record is from RefSeq and is a predicted model, not a curated record. The transcript has 3 exons.
CCCAGCCCCGCACGGCCCCUCACAGCCCCGGCGCCGCACGGACCCAGCCUCGCACAACCCAGGGCAGGGCCGUGGCAGGGCCGACACCGCCCCCUGGCGGCGCGCACGGUCCCCGCUCCCGCAGCCGCCGCGGUCCCGGUGCGGGGCCCGAAGGGAGGCGGGGAAGAGGAACCAGCCGGGAAAGGGAUGUGUCCCAGCCAGCCAGGCCGAGAGCCCCGGCCAGCCUUCGGAAGAGUUCGCGUGAGCGCGGCUCAGUGUGAAAGACCACAAAAUAAGUAACCCUAAAAGAAAAAAGAAAAUAUUCACAUUGAAGAAAUAUUUAUCUUAAAAAAUACUGGAGAGAAGAGACUUGUAAGUGAAUGGAAGACUUAACUUCAACCUGCACUGUACACAGAGAGAACAUGCAACACUGCAACAAAGAGGGGGAAUAAAACCACAAAACCAACUAAUAAAAACUUAUCCAUAUAGUGUCACACAGUCUGAACUAAAAGACUAAUUUGAAGACAAUACAAAAGGUUUCUGUGCUCAGUUUCAAGAUGAUCUGAUGCAGCCCACUGUACAAAACCAACACUGCAGCGUUGUCUACAGUUACUUCAGAUAGGGACAGAUUUUCAAGAACAGUCAAGGAAUUCACUCAAGCUAAGGAAGACAAGAUGGUACAUAAAAAAUCUAUGUGUUUGCCUGAACACAUGAGUCAGCAAGUGCCUGCAAUAUCUAUUUUAAUGUGGAUUUUUUUUUUUUGUAUACUCAGCUUACUCCCAUCUCCAUCCUUAAGGCACACAAUUGUUCCUUAGUGGGUGUAGUUUGUAUCAUAAACCAGCUGAAAAUAAGUUGUCUUGGAGCUGUGCUGAAGUAUAGCUUACAUAAGCCAGUAGUUUGCACCUAGACAUUGAAUUCUGGGAAGCUCUUAAGUAUUCUGCUGGGAGCCAAAAGUGGUGCUCCUGUACCAAUUGGCUGAUGAAGUGCGAAAACUGACAUCUUUUCCUGUGUCAUGAGCAUCUAAUUUGCAAGACAGAGAAAGCAGUAGGGAAAAAGUUGUGAUUUCUUCAAGUAUGCAGUGACAGCAAAUCAUAAUUUUAGAAUUGAUGAGACUUAUGCAAAGCUAUUGAUGAGGAAAUGUUUUGCUAGGUAAUUCUUAAAGUGAUUUUUUUUUAAAGUCCUCGUGGUUAUUGUGUCUGUGCUGUUAUAUCCUGAACGUGAUAUUAUAAAACAACAAAAAAAGAAUGAUAUAAUUUUUUUUAUACAAAUAUGUACUUGUUGCUAAGCUUCACUCACGUUUUGGCAAGACAACCCCAAGUCAUAUUUUGCCUAUAAAACUAUAAUUAAGCUUUCAGACUGGGAAAAAAAGUGCAAGUUCAAAAUAGUAUAAAUCAAAAUAGUUAAAAGGUCAUAAUCUUUCUUUAAAAUAUUGUAUGUGUUCAAAUUUUAUUAAUUUUUAAAAUAUAUUUACACUCCUUGAUUC